CUACGGAGGGUGCGAGCGUUAUCCGGAUUUAUUAGGUUUAAAGGGUGUGUAGGCGGGAGCCUAAGUCAGUGGUGAAAUCUCACAGCUUAACUGUGAAACUGCCAUUGAAACUGGGUUUCUUGAGUAUAGUUGAGGUAGGCGGAAUGUGUAAUGUAGCGGUGAAAUGCAUAGAUAUUACACAGAACACCGAUUGCGAAGGCAGCUUACUAAGCUAUUACUGACGCUGAUGCACGAAAGCGUGGGUAGCGAACAGGAUUAGAAACCCCAGUAGUCC
This 274-nucleotide ribosomal RNA is filed under the name uncultured bacterium. RNAcentral describes it as "partial 16S ribosomal RNA". It matches the Rfam family "Bacterial small subunit ribosomal RNA", at positions 523 to 796 of the family's 1533-position model. The record is from RNAcentral.